GUGGGGAAUAUUGCACAAUGGGGGAAACCCUGAUGCAGCAACGCCGCGUGAGUGAUGAAGGUCUUCGGAUUGUAAAACUCUGUCUUCAGGGACGAUAAUGACGGUACCUGAGGAGGAAGCCACGGCUAACUACGUGCCAGCAGCCGCGGUAAUACGUAGGUGGCAAGCGUUGUCCGGAUUUACUGGGCGUAAAGGGAGCGUAGGUGGAUAUUUAAGUGGGAUGUGAAAUACUCGGGCUUAACCUGAGUGCUGCAUUCCAAACUGGAUAUCUAGAGUGCAGGAGAGGAAAGUAGAAUUCCUAGUGUAGCGGUGAAAUGCGUAGAGAUUAGGAAGAAUACCAGUGGCGAAGGCGACUUUCUGGACUGUAACUGACACUGAGGCUCGAAAGCGUGGGGAGCAAACAGGAUUAGAAACCCGUGUAGUCC
Molecule: ribosomal RNA, 425 nt
Filed under: uncultured bacterium
Lineage: Bacteria
Description: bacterial SSU rRNA
Rfam family: Bacterial small subunit ribosomal RNA
Source: RNAcentral